UCAACCCAAACUUUGACUUGAUGAUUUUGCAAAUACUGCUUCUCUGCAUCAUGAAGCACAGCUUGGAUAGUUGAAACUGUCCUCCUGAGUUUCUCAAGCUCCUCUUUGACACCCCACCAAAGCCUAGUCUCUUGAAGAACUCGAGAACCCAGCUUCUUAAUUACUUCCAAAGCAAUGCUGGAGAGAAUUGCAUCUGCCAUUGCUUUUCAAGUAAGUGAAAAGUGAAGGCAAGGAAGAAUUGGGAAGUGUUUAAGGUUU
RNAcentral lists this unclassified non-coding RNA (258 nucleotides) under Hevea brasiliensis (rubber tree). Lineage: Eukaryota; Viridiplantae; Streptophyta; Magnoliopsida; Malpighiales; Euphorbiaceae. The record is from RNAcentral.